This is a long non-coding RNA of Saccostrea echinata, 323 nucleotides long. RefSeq lists it as uncharacterized. The record is from RefSeq and is a predicted model, not a curated record. Lineage: Eukaryota; Metazoa; Mollusca; Bivalvia; Ostreida; Ostreidae. The transcript is spliced from 3 exons.
AAAACAAGGAAUAUGGAAAAGACUGCUCAGAGAGGUGUAGUGAAAACUGUUUGAAUGAUGAAACCUGUGAUCGUUUCUAUGGAAAUUGUAGUCACUGUUCUGCCGGAUGGAAAGGUCCCUUGUGUAAUAUGUCUUGUGACAGCGGGGAAUAUGGAAAAGACUGUCUGGAAAUAUGUAGUGGAAACUGUUUAAAUGGUGAAACCUGUGACCGAUUUUAUGGAAACUGUAGCUUCUGUUCUGCUCGUUGGAAGGGUCCUAUGUGUAAUGCUUCUUGUGACAGCGGGGAAUAUGGAAUAGACUGUAAGGGAAUAUGUAGUGGAAAC